CACUGAUGGGUGGGGAAUUUGGAGCAGGCUCCACUCUGCUCUCUUACCCCUAGGGGAGAAGCCUCAGGUUCUGCUCUUUAUCUCCAUCUUACAGAGCUGUGUUGGCCACAGCAAGACACCCACCUCUUCUUUCUUUCUUAGCUGCCCCAGGCAACAAAACGAUGGUAUUUCUCCCUGUUGCUGUCUUACUCUUGUACUCAUCUCAAUUACUGCAUCUUCUUCUCUGGAUUCUGGACUUCUCAUAAAGUAAGCAUGGGAGUAGCAGAGAGCCUCUUAGGAAGUGUUCCCAAAGGACAACUGUGCUGCUGUUCUACCUUAUGGAAACUUGAAAAAAGUGUAAUGAGACCUCCCAAGAAGCAUAUCUGUGCAUGAGGGAAAUUAUUUUCUUUUUACUUUCUGAACAAUAAAUGUCUCUUCAGGCUAUG
Puma concolor (puma) is the source of this 425-nucleotide non-coding RNA. The record is from RefSeq and is a predicted model, not a curated record. NCBI's taxonomy places the organism in Eukaryota, Metazoa, Chordata, Mammalia, Carnivora, Felidae.